Molecule: ribosomal RNA, 529 nt
Filed under: uncultured bacterium
Lineage: Bacteria
Description: bacterial SSU rRNA
Rfam family: Bacterial small subunit ribosomal RNA
Source: RNAcentral
AAUAGAUACCCUGGUAGUCCACGCCGUAAACGAUGAGUGCUAAGUGUUAGAGGGUUUCCGCCCUUUAGUGCUGCAGCUAACGCAUUAAGCACUCCGCCUGGGGAGUACGGCCGCAAGGCUGAAACUCAAAGGAAUUGACGGGGGCCCGCACAAGCGGUGGAGCAUGUGGUUUAAUUCGAAGCAACGCGAAGAACCUUACCAGGUCUUGACAUCCUCUGCCAACCCUAGAGAUAGGGCGUUCCCCUUCGGGGGACAGAGUGACAGGUGGUGCAUGGUUGUCGUCAGCUCGUGUCGUGAGAUGUUGGGUUAAGUCCCGCAACGAGCGCAACCCUUGAUCUUAGUUGCCAGCAUUCAGUUGGGCACUCUAAGGUGACUGCCGGUGACAAACCGGAGGAAGGUGGGGAUGACGUCAAAUCAUCAUGCCCCUUAUGGCCUGGGCUACACACGUGCUACAAUGGAUGGUACAAAGAGCUGCGAACCCGCGAGGGUAAGCCAAUCUCAUAAAGCCAUUCUCAGUUCGGAUUGUAGG